GAUGAACGCUGGCGGCGUGCCUAAUACAUGCAAGUCGAGCGAACGGACAAGAAGCUUGCUUUUCUGAUGUUAGCGGCGGACGGGUGGGUAACCCGUGGAUAACCUACUUAUAAUACUGGGAUAACUUCGGGAAACCGGAUCUAAUACCGGCUAAUAUUUUGAACCGCAUGGUUCAAAAGUAAAAGAGGGUUUUGGUGUCACUUUUAGAUGGAUCCGCGCUGCAUUAGCUAGUUGGUAAGGUAACGGCUUACCAAGGCAACGAUGGAUAGCCGACCUGAGAGGGUGAUCGGCCACACUGGAACUGAGACACGGUCCAGACUCCUACGGGAGGCAGCAGUAGGGAAUCUUGCGCAAUGGGCGAAAGCCUGACGGAGCAACGCCGCGUGAGUGAUGAAGGUCUUCGGAUCGUAAAACUCUGUUAUUAGGGAAGAACAUAUGUGUAAGUAACUGUGCACAUCUUGACGGUACCUAAUCAGAAAGCCACGGCUAACUACGUG
RNAcentral lists this ribosomal RNA (497 nucleotides) under uncultured bacterium. RNAcentral describes it as "partial 16S ribosomal RNA". It matches the Rfam family "Bacterial small subunit ribosomal RNA", at positions 28 to 507 of the family's 1533-position model. The record is from RNAcentral.